UACGUAUGGUGCAAGCGUUAUCCGGAUUUACUGGGUGUAAAGGGAGCGUAGACGGAGUGGCAAGUCUGAUGUGAAAGCCCGGGGCUCAACCCCGGGACUGCAUUGGAAACUGUCAAUCUAGAGUACCGGAGAGGUAAGCGGAAUUCCUAGUGUAGCGGUGAAAUGCGUAGAUAUUAGGAGGAACACCAGUGGCGAAGGCGGCUUACUGGACGGUAACUGACGUUGAGGCUCGAAAGCGUGGGGAGCAAACAGG
Molecule: ribosomal RNA, 253 nt
Filed under: Mediterraneibacter faecis JCM 15917
Lineage: Bacteria; Bacillati; Bacillota; Clostridia; Lachnospirales; Lachnospiraceae
Description: [Ruminococcus] faecis JCM 15917 partial 16S ribosomal RNA
Rfam family: Bacterial small subunit ribosomal RNA
Source: RNAcentral